Molecule: signal recognition particle RNA, 268 nt
Filed under: Caldifarciminota bacterium
Lineage: Bacteria; Pseudomonadati; Caldifarciminota
Description: candidate division WOR-3 bacterium (sediment metagenome) signal recognition particle sRNA large type
Rfam family: Bacterial large signal recognition particle RNA
About the family: The signal recognition particle (SRP) is a universally conserved ribonucleoprotein involved in the co-translational targeting of proteins to membranes. Archaeal SRP consists of a 7S RNA and homologues of the eukaryotic SRP19 and SRP54 proteins.
Source: RNAcentral
CCGCGCUGGACGGGGGGUUGGCGGUCCCCUGUAACCCGAAACCCGCCUCAUGCGGGGUCGAGAGGCACUCUGAGUGCUGACCGGCGCGAACCAGGCCUGGACGUUGCGAGGACGAUGAAAGCCGGGUCCGACAACGGAUGCUGCCGUGAACCCCGCCAGGACCGGAAGGUAGCAACGGUAAACGGCCUCGCGCCCGGUUGCCGGGCAACCUGGCUGGAGCCCUCGCCGUCCCGACCCUCUCGCCGUCAGCGCGAAAGUGCCGGCGCGG